This 200-nucleotide unclassified non-coding RNA is filed under the name soil metagenome. Its description in RNAcentral is "partial contains internal transcribed spacer 2 and large subunit ribosomal RNA". The record is from RNAcentral.
GAGCGUCAUUACUCCUCUCAAGCAUUGCUUGGUAUUGGAUUUGUCCAGAGAUGGACGUGUCCGAAAAAGAGUGGCGGGCCAAAUUGGUUUCAAGCGUAGUAAAAUUAUUGCCGCUUAGGAAAUCAAGCUGUGCUCUUGCCAAAAUCUAAUCUAUUUCUAUGAUUGACCUCGGAUCAGGUAGGGAUACCCGCUGAACUUAA